RNAcentral lists this ribosomal RNA (501 nucleotides) under uncultured bacterium. RNAcentral's name for it is "partial 16S ribosomal RNA". It matches the Rfam family "Bacterial small subunit ribosomal RNA", at positions 29 to 523 of the family's 1533-position model. The record is from RNAcentral.
AUUGAACGCUGGCGGCAUGCCUUACACAUGCAAGUCGAACGGCAGCACGGGUGCUUGCACCUGGUGGCGAGUGGCGAACGGGUGAGUAAUACAUCGGAACGUACCUUAUCGUGGGGGAUAACGCAGCGAAAGCUGUGCUAAUACCGCAUACGCCCUGAGGGGGAAAGCGGGGGAUCGCAAGACCUCGCGCGAUUAGAGCGGCCGAUGCCUGAUUAGCUUGUUGGUGGGGUAAAAGCCCACCAAGGCGACGAUCAGUAGCUGGUCUGAGAGGACGAGCAGCCACACUGGGACUGAGACACGGCCCAGACUCCUACGGGAGGCAGCAGUGGGGAAUUUUGGACAAUGGGGGCAACCCUGAGCCAGCAAUGCCGCGUGAGUGAAGAAGGCCUUCGGGUUGUAAAGCUCUUUUGUCAGGGAAGAAACACCGGCUCUAACACAGUCCGGGAAUGACGGUACCUGAAGAAUAAGCACCGGCUAACUACGUGCCAGCAGCCGCAGUAA